GAUGAAGAACGCAGCGAAACGCGAUAGUUAAUGUGAAUUGCAGAAUUCAGUGAAUCAUCGAGUCUUUGAACGCACAUUGCGCCCCCUGGUAUUCCGGGGGGCAUGCCUGUCCGAGCGUCAUUGCUGCCCUCAAGCACGGCUUGUGUGUUGGGCCUCCGUCCUCCUCCCGGGGGACGGGCCCGAAAGGCAGCGGCGGCACCGCGUCCGGUCCUCGAGCGUAUGGGGCUUCGUCACCCGCUCUUGUAGGCCCGGCCGGCGCUUGCCGACACAUCAAUCUUUUUUCCAGGUUGACCUCGGAUCAGGUAGGGAUACCCGCUGAACUUAAGCAUAUCAAUAAGCGGAGGA
RNAcentral lists this unclassified non-coding RNA (345 nucleotides) under soil metagenome. Its description in RNAcentral is "partial contains 5.8S ribosomal RNA, internal transcribed spacer 2, and large subunit ribosomal RNA". The stretch from base 1 to 120 matches the Rfam family "5.8S ribosomal RNA", at positions 35 to 154 of the family's 154-position model. The record is from RNAcentral.